RNAcentral lists this ribosomal RNA (468 nucleotides) under uncultured bacterium. RNAcentral describes it as "partial 16S ribosomal RNA". It matches the Rfam family "Bacterial small subunit ribosomal RNA", at positions 28 to 507 of the family's 1533-position model. The record is from RNAcentral.
GACGAACGCUGGCGGCGUGCUUAACACAUGCAAGUCGAACGGAAAGGCCCUGCUUUUGUGGGGUGCUCGAGUGGCGAACGGGUGAGUAACACGUGAGUAACCUGCCCUUGACUUUGGGAUAACUUCAGGAAACUGGGGCUAAUACCGUAUAGGAGCUCCUGCUGCAUGGUGGGGGUUGGAAAGUUUCGGCGGUUGGGGAUGGACUCGCGGCUUAUCAGCUUGUUGGUGGGGUAGUGGCUUACCAAGGCUUUGGCGGGUAGCCGGCCUGGGAGGGUGACCGGCCACAUUGGGACUGAGAUACGGCCCAGAGUCCUACGGGAGGCAGAAGUGGGGAAUCUUGCACAAUGGGAGGAAGCCUGAUGCAGAAACGCCGCGUGCGGGAUGACGGCCUUCGGGUUGUAAACCGCUUUAGCCUGUGACGAAGCGUGAGUGACGGUAAUGGGUAAAGAAGCACCGGCUAACUACGUG